Molecule: ribosomal RNA, 462 nt
Filed under: uncultured bacterium
Lineage: Bacteria
Description: partial 16S ribosomal RNA
Rfam family: Bacterial small subunit ribosomal RNA
Source: RNAcentral
AACCAACGCUGGCGGCGUGCCUAAUACAUGCAAGUCGAACGGGGAAAGCUUUCGGGUGAGUACUAGUGGCGCACGGGUGAGGAACGCGUGGAUAAUCUGCCUUAGAGUGGGGGAUAACUAGUCGAAAGAUUAGCUAAUACCGCAUAAGACCACGAGAGCUGCGGCUUUUGAGGUCAAAGGUUUUUCGCUCUAAGAUGAGUCCGCGUAAGAUUAGCUAGUUGGUGAGGUAACGGCUCACCAAGGCGACGAUCUUUAACUGGUCUGAGAGGAUGAUCAGUCACACUGGAACUGAGACACGGUACAGACGCCUACGGGAGGCAGCAGUAGGGAAUAUUGCACAAUGGAGGAAACUCUGAUGCAGCGACGCCGCGUGAGUGAUGAAGGCCUUCGGGUCGUAAAGCUCUGUCGCAGGGGAAUAACACAAUGAAGGUACCCUGUAAGAAAGGAUCGGCUAACUUCGUG